RNAcentral lists this ribosomal RNA (465 nucleotides) under uncultured bacterium. RNAcentral's name for it is "partial 16S ribosomal RNA". It matches the Rfam family "Bacterial small subunit ribosomal RNA", at positions 28 to 507 of the family's 1533-position model. The record is from RNAcentral.
GAUGAACGCUGGCGGCGUGCUUAACACAUGCAAGUCGAACGGAAAGGCUCCUGCUUGCAGGGGUACUCGAGUGGCGAACGGGUGAGUAACACGUGGGUGAUCUGCCCUGCACUUCGGGAUAAGCCUGGGAAACUGGGUCUAAUACCGGAUAGGACGAUGGUUUGGAUGCCAUUGUGGAAAGUUUUUCGGUGUGGGAUGAGCUCGCGGCCUUUCAGCUUGUUGGUGGGGUAAUGGCCUACCAAGGCGUCGACGGGUAGCCGGCCUGAGAGGGUGUACGGCCACAUUGGGACUGAGAUACGGCCCAGACUCCUACGGGAGGCAGCAGUGGGGAAUAUUGCACAAUGGGCGCAAGCCUGAUGCAGCGACGCCGCGUGGGGGAUGACGGCCUUCGGGUUGUAAACUCCUUUCGCUAGGGACGAAGCGCAAGUGACGGUACCUGGAGAAGAAGCACGGGCUAACUACGUG